This 253-nucleotide ribosomal RNA is filed under the name uncultured bacterium. RNAcentral describes it as "partial 16S ribosomal RNA". It matches the Rfam family "Bacterial small subunit ribosomal RNA", at positions 524 to 776 of the family's 1533-position model. The record is from RNAcentral.
UACGGGGGGGGCAAGCGUUGUUCGGAAUUACUGGGCGUAAAGGGCUCGUAGGCGGCCAACUAAGUCAGACGUGAAAUCCCUCGGCUUAACCGGGGAACGGCCUCUGAUACUGGCUGGCUGGAGUUCGGGAGAGGGAUGCGGAAUUCCAGGUGUAGCGGUGAAAUGCGUAGAUAUCUGGAGGAACACCGGUGGCGAAGGCGGCAUCCUGGACCGAGACUGACACUGAGGAGCGAAAGCCAGGGGAGCAAACGGG